AUACUUUCCUGGCAGGGGAGAUACCAGGAUCACGAAGGUGGUUUUCCCAGGGCCAGGCUUAUCCAUUGCACUCUGAUAUGCUGACCCCUGUGAUUUCCCCAAAUGUGGGAAACUUGACUACAUAAUUUGUGGUAGUUGGGGACUGUAUUCACGACCUCCCU
Molecule: small nuclear RNA, 161 nt
Filed under: Dasypus novemcinctus (nine-banded armadillo)
Lineage: Eukaryota; Metazoa; Chordata; Mammalia; Cingulata; Dasypodidae
Description: U1 spliceosomal RNA (ENSDNOG00000027781.1)
Rfam family: U1 spliceosomal RNA
About the family: U1 is a small nuclear RNA (snRNA) component of the spliceosome (involved in pre-mRNA splicing).
Source: RNAcentral